GCAGUUUAUGCGGCUGCUGUGGCAAAAGUUGGCCAGCCGACAGCAGCAGCGGAAACGUUGGCCUGGCUUUUAAGCCAGCUUUCUUUUUCUGUGUUGUUUCGCCCAUUCUUAAGAGCAGUCAGCCCAGCCCAGAGUCGCCGCCGCGUCUUAAUAGCAUCAUCAUCUUUUCAUCUACGAGGCAGGCAUCAGGCCAGAGCUCCUCCAUUCUACAAAGUCUCUCUCUUAGCUACAACUGCAGCAGCCGCCGUUCCACACUCCAGUCCCGACUCUUCAGUGUGUUGUUUGCUUUAUUUGGUCUUCCACGCUGUAAAGUCGUUUUUUCUUUCUUUCUUUCUUUUUCUUUCGUUCAUUUUCAUCUUUGUUUUUGGUUGUGGCUCUCCCGCAUUCUUGGCCACAUCCUUCACAAGGUCAUGCCAACAGACAGGCGCGACUACAGAGGUGGAAUGAUAAAAAAAAGAAUCUAGCAAAAUGUGCAAACAAAUGUGGAAACAUACAUACGCAUUCGUACUUGCCAUGGCUAUGGGUACUCCAAGUGGUAUGGUAUAUAUUUUUGUAUAAAUCGUAUUUAAGCAAAGUAAUCUUUAAGCAAAUAAUUGUUGUCCCGGUGUAUGCGGUUUCUGUUUGACUGACUCGCUGCCAUGGCAUGGCAUGCCCACUUCCCCAUUCCCAUUCCCAUUCCCAUUCCCUGUUGUUGUCAUCGUCAUCACUUUUGUAGACACACACGGCAACACACAGUCCACACACAGAUGCACGCCCCAACACAUGCCCCAUUCGCGCCCAUCGCCCAUGCCCCAUGUGUGCACAAAUUGUUAGCGACUCUCUGCCACAGAGCCGAGAUACAGUUUGUUUGGUUCGCUUUUUUUUUGUGCCAUGCCCCCGAGCCAUGUUAAAAAAUAAAAACCAACAGAGACAGAGAGAGAGAGAGCAAAAACAAAAGAUACAUUUAAUGCAGAGCUGGAAGAUUGAAUGAUGCCAGGAGAUGCUCCUGCUUCAGGUCCUGCUGCUCCUGCUCCUGCUCCUGCUUAUGUUGAUGGUUAAACUGGCUGUUAAAUUACCACAGUGCUUGCGGGUUGGUUUGUUUUUUGUUACCCCUUUGACCCCUUCGAGGAACAUCUGGGGGUUGCACAAAGGGUUUGAUCUGCAUGCCAUUUUGAGCGCUUAAAUUUGAGGAGAAAGUUGGUUUUCUUUUGUUCAAAAACUGCCUAAAUAUAAUGCAUAUUAGAAUAAUUUUUAGUCUCCCCGAAACACCUCAAGAUCGGUAUCUUUAGCAGCCUUUAAACUUCUUAAAAUAUUCAUUAAUUUCGCUGCUAAAUAUUCAAUGGGAAAUAAUAAUGGAACUGGCCAUAAAACUUCUAUAAAUGAGCAACUUUUGUUAUUUUUGUUACCCAAAAAAUAUGUUUGUCUCAAUCACAUUUCACCUCCCACAGAUCUUCCUUAACCAUCUACCGACCUGCUCUAAUCAUCGCACCUUUAACAACUAUUCCACGUAUGACACCCCAAAGAUGACAUCGAAAUACCUAUUCCUUAUCCAUUUCCCCCUCUUCGUCUUAUAUUUUUGGGGUGUUAAUAAGAUAUCAAAUAUGCAUGCGGCGGCCAUUCUACGGACAAGUAUGCCCAGGCAGGCCACAAGCCAAAGAUACAAACGCGCAGACCCAAACGCUAAACCCAAAUCCCAGUGCCCAGUGCCAGAGGCAGUGGCAGUGCACAGUCCCCGCAUUCGAGUCGUCUCUCAAUUCCAAUUCCAAUUCCAAUUCCAAUACCACGACGAGACCCAGUUCCGAGACUCAGACUUUGGCCCGUGGCCGGCGCGAGAGUCUCGCUAACGAGGCGCGUUUGAAAAUGCAGCAUAAGAAAAAUAAAUAAACCAACCAAACAUCAAGAGCAUCGAGAGACACACACGAACCGAAGCAGAAAAUACCCUAAAUAUUCCACUUUUUUGGAUCACAUAUUCAUUGAAUUUGAACUUCUAUCAGAGUUUUGUAUGCCUCAUGAAAAAUGAGAAGUAAGUUCAUUCGAGGAGUAAGUUCCAAACGAUAAACAACUAAAUUUUCAGUUUUUUAGGAAAAGCCCCAAUACCGUAAUUAAAUUCUUUAAAAAAAAAAACUAGUAUUAAAAAGUUUGUAAUUUUGAGUUUUGUAAUUUUCAAUAUUUAAUUUAAAUCUUAACCCGUGCCACAGUUCCCCUUGAACCCUUGGACAACAUUCUGGCGCGGGCUUCGGUCCGUAUCGUCUGUGACCCCCUUUGGAUGUAACUCAAAACUGGAACUAUUCCUCGGGUGUAAACUCACGGAAUUUGUAAUUGAGGCUCACCUGCUGCUGCCGAGGACUUUAACAACAGGACCUUUAACGAAAGGUUCUUCGACAUACAAGUUAUCAGUGCACUGCUGUAUUUAUAUAUUUUUAUACCGUC
This 2409-nucleotide long non-coding RNA is filed under the name Drosophila guanche. The record is from RNAcentral. Lineage: Eukaryota; Metazoa; Arthropoda; Insecta; Diptera; Drosophilidae.